This 497-nucleotide ribosomal RNA is filed under the name uncultured bacterium. RNAcentral describes it as "partial 16S ribosomal RNA". It matches the Rfam family "Bacterial small subunit ribosomal RNA", at positions 28 to 507 of the family's 1533-position model. The record is from RNAcentral.
GAUGAACGCUGGCGGCGUGCCUAAUACAUGCAAGUCGAGCGAACGGACGAGAAGCUUGCUUCUCUGAUGUUAGCGGCGGACGGGUGAGUAACACGUGGAUAACCUACCUAUAAGACUGGGAUAACUUCGGGAAACCGGAGCUAAUACCGGAUAAUAUUUUGAACCGCAUGGUUCAAAAGUAAAAGACGGUCUUGCUGUCACUUAUAGAUGGAUCCGCGCUGCAUUAGCUAGUUGGUAAGGUAACGGCUUACCAAGGCAACGAUGCAUAGCCGACCUGAGAGGUGGAUCGGCCACACUGGAACUGAGACACGGUCCAGACUCCUACGGGAGGCAGCAGUGGGGAAUAUUCCCCAAUGGGCGAAAGCCUGACGGAGCCACCCCGCGUGAGUGAUGAAGGUCUUCGGAUCGUAAAACUCUUUUAUUGGGAAAGAACAUCUGUAUAAUAAACUGUCCACAUCUUGACGGUACCUAAUCAAAAAGCCCCGGCUAACUCCGUG